RNAcentral lists this ribosomal RNA (400 nucleotides) under uncultured Frankia sp. Its description in RNAcentral is "bacterial SSU rRNA". It matches the Rfam family "Bacterial small subunit ribosomal RNA", at positions 973 to 1375 of the family's 1533-position model. The record is from RNAcentral. Lineage: Bacteria; Bacillati; Actinomycetota; Actinomycetes; Frankiales; Frankiaceae.
ACCUGGGCUUGACAUGCAGGGUGAAACCCGUGAAAGCGGGCGCUCUUCGGAGCCUGCACAGGUGGUGCAUGGCUGUCGUCAGCUCGUGCCGUGAGGUGUUGCCUUAAGUGGCGCAACGAGCGCAACCCCUGUCCUUAGUUGCCAGCGAGUCAUGUCGGGAACUCUAGGGAGACUGCCGGUGCCAAACCGGAGGAAGGUGGGGAUGACGUCAAGUCAUCAUGCCCCUUACGUCCAGGGCUGCAAACAUGCUACAAUGCUCGGUACAAAGGGCUGCGAUCCCGCAAGGGGGAGCGAAUCCCAGAAAGCCGGGCUCAGUUCGGAUCGGGGUCUGCAACUCGACCCCGUGAAGUUGGAGUCGCUAGUAAUCGCAGAUCAGCACUGCUGCGGUGAAUACGUUCCC